Molecule: non-coding RNA, 72 nt
Organism: Bos taurus (domestic cattle)
Lineage: Eukaryota; Metazoa; Chordata; Mammalia; Artiodactyla; Bovidae
Source: Rfam
UCCCUGAUGGUCCAGUGGGUAAGUACCUGCCUUGCAAUGCAGGGGAUGCAGGUUCAAUCCCUGGUCAGGGAA